UAUUGUUCUUCAACGAGGAAUCCCUAGUAAGCACAAGUCAUCAGCUUGUGUUGAUUACGUCCCUGCCCUUUGUACACACCGCCCGUCGCUACUACCGAUUGAAUGGCUUAGUGAGACCUCCGGAUCGGUAAUCAGAAGUUGGCAACAACAUCUUUUUGCUGAAAAGUUGUUCAAACUUGGUCAUUUAGAGGAAGUAAAAGUCGUAACAAGGUUUCCGUAGGUGAACCUGCGGAAGGAUCAUUAAUGAUUUUUUUAAGCAAACCAAGCGAAAGCGAGGUUUUGCGAAUAUAUAUUUAAAACCCCCCACUCUUUAUAAAAGAAAAAUUUUUCAUAUUCAUAAUGAAUAAAAAAAAAGAUCACUUUCAACAACGGAUCUCUUGGCUCUCGCAUCGAUGAAGAACGCAGCGAAAUGCGAUAAGUAGUGUGAAUUGCAGAAUUACGUGAAUCAUCGAAUCUUUGAACGCAAAUUGCACUCUCUGGUAUUCCGGGGAGUAUGCCUGUUUGAGGGUCGCUUAACAAACCAUCGAUUUCGUUGCUUUUUUUUUUAAAAAAAGAAAGUAACGUUUUAUCGGAUUUGAGCCGUCUUUUUUUUAUAUAUAAUAUAUUUAAAAGUGGCUUAAAAUUGAUUUUUUCUGGUACGAUCGAAGCGUAUUUUAUGAUCAAUUUUUGGUUAAAGAAACGCGCGUACCGAUCAUUUAUUUUUGAUGUAAUACGUUUGACUAUUGGAUUUAGUUCAUUCGUAUACGAUAUCUUUCAAAUUUUGACCUCAAAUCAGGUAAGAACACCCGCUGAACUUAAGCAUAUCAAUAAGCGGAGGAAAAGAAAAUAACAAUGAUUCCCCUAGUAACGGCGAGUGAAGAGGGAUAAGCUCAAAUUUUAAAUCUGAUCGGUUUUACUUAUCAGAAUUGUAAUUUGAAGAAACGUUUUCUGUAUCUUGAAUUAGCCUAAAUCUUUUGGAACAAGGUAUCAUGGGAGGGUGACAAUCCCGUUCAUGGUUAAUUUCAAGCUGCGUUAUGAUACGUUUUCAAAGAGUCGAGUUGUUUGGGAUUGCAGCUCAAAAUGGGAGGUAAAUUUCUCCUAAAGCUAAAUAUUGGCGAGAGACCGAUAGCGAACAAGUACCGUGAGGGAAAGAUGAAAAGAACUUUGAAAAGAGAGUUAAACAGUACGUGAAAUUGUUGAAAGGGAAACGAUUGAAGUCAGUCGUACCAACGGGAAAUCAAUUCAUCGAGUGUUGAAUUUGGAUCUUAAAGAGUCUUAAAACCUUUGGGUUUCGGAUAUUUUCACUUUUUUGAACGUAUUUUCUCGUACGGUAGGUUAACAUCGAUUUUGAAGAUUAUAAAAUGAUCGGAGGAAUGUAGCUUCGAUCUCGUAUUGAAGUGUUAUAGCCUUUGGUAGAUGUAAUGAUCAAGAUCGAGGAUUGCAACGAAUACCUUUUGGGCUAUCCGUCUGAUCUCUGAUACGUUGCCUCGGUAACGAAAGCGUGCUUACGGUAUUGAGGUAUUACGGUCAAAAGGUUAGAACGUGAUUAAAUUCGUUAAGGAUGUUGACGUAAUGGCUUUAAACGACCCGUCUUGAAACACGGACCAAGGAGUCUAACAUAUAUGCGAGUGUUC
This 1613-nucleotide ribosomal RNA is filed under the name Septoglomus africanum. RNAcentral describes it as "eukaryotic LSU rRNA". The stretch from base 762 to 1613 matches the Rfam family "Eukaryotic large subunit ribosomal RNA", at positions 1 to 695 of the family's 3401-position model. Lineage: Eukaryota; Fungi; Glomeromycota; Glomeromycetes; Glomerales; Glomeraceae. The record is from RNAcentral.